Molecule: ribosomal RNA, 492 nt
Filed under: uncultured bacterium
Lineage: Bacteria
Description: partial 16S ribosomal RNA
Rfam family: Bacterial small subunit ribosomal RNA
Source: RNAcentral
AGUGAACGCUGGCGGUAGGCCUAACACAUGCAAGUCGAACGGCAGCACAGUAAGAGCUUGCUCUUACGGGUGGCGAGUGGCGGACGGGUGAGGAAUAGAUCGGAAUCUACUUUUUCGUGGGGGAUAACGUAGGGAAACUUACGCUAAUACCGCAUACGACCUACGGGAGAAAGCAGGGGAUCUUCAGACCUUUCGCGAUUGAAUGAGCCGACGUCGGAUUAGCUAGUUGGCGAGGUAAAGGCUCACCAAGGCAACGAUCCGUAGCGGGUCUGAGAGGAUGAUCAGCCACACUGGAACUGAGACACGGUCCAGACUCCUACGGGAGGCAGCAGUGGGGAAUAUUGCACAAUGGGCGCAAGCCUGACCCAGCCAUACCGCGUGAGUGAUGAAGGUCUUCGGGUUGUAAAGCCCUUUUAUUGGGAAAGAAAAGAUGCAUAUUAAUCCACCGCCGUCUUGACGGUACCUAAACAAUAAGCCACGGCUAACUACGUG